Molecule: ribosomal RNA, 254 nt
Filed under: uncultured prokaryote
Description: partial 16S ribosomal RNA
Rfam family: Bacterial small subunit ribosomal RNA
Source: RNAcentral
ACGGAGGGUGCAAGCGUUGCUCGGAAUUAUUGGGCGUAAAGGGUAGGUAGGUGGUCUCAUUUGUCGGGGGUGAAAGCCUUGGGCUUAACUCAAGAAGUGCCCCCGAAACGGUGAGACUCGGAGUCCUGGAGAGGCGAGUGGAAUUCCGCAUGUAGUGGUGAAAUGCGUAGAUAUGCGGAGGAACACCAGUGGCGAAGGCGGCCUCCUGGUACACUCCUGACACUCAGACGCGAAAGCUAGGGGAGCGAACGGGA